RNAcentral lists this ribosomal RNA (483 nucleotides) under uncultured bacterium. RNAcentral's name for it is "partial 16S ribosomal RNA". It matches the Rfam family "Bacterial small subunit ribosomal RNA", at positions 28 to 507 of the family's 1533-position model. The record is from RNAcentral.
GACGAACGCUGGCGGCGUGCUUAACACAUGCAAGUCGAACGCUGAAGCUCAGCUUUUGUUGGGUGGAUGAGUGGCGAACGGGUGAGUAACACGUGAGUAACCUGCCCCCUUCUUUGGGAUAACGCCCGGAAACGGGUGCUAAUACUGGAUAUUCACUGGUCUUCGCAUGGGGGUUGGUGGAAAGGGUUUUUCUGGUGGGGGAUGGGCUCGCGGCCUAUCAGCUUGUUGGUGGGGUGAUGGCCUACCAAGGCUUUGACGGGUAGCCGGCCUGAGAGGGUGACCGGUCACAUUGGGACUGAGAUACGGCCCAGACUCCGACGGGAGGCAGCAGUGGGGAAUAGUGCACAAUGGGCGCAAGCCUGAUGCAGCGACGCCGCGUGAGGGAUGGAGGCCUUCGGGUUGUGAACCUCUUUCGCUCAUGGUCAAGCCGCAACAAUGGUUGUGGUGAGGGUAGUGGGUAAAGAAGCGCCGGCUAACUACGUG